Molecule: transfer RNA, 71 nt
Filed under: Loxodonta africana (African savanna elephant)
Lineage: Eukaryota; Metazoa; Chordata; Mammalia; Proboscidea; Elephantidae
Rfam family: tRNA
About the family: Transfer RNA (tRNA) molecules are approximately 80 nucleotides in length. Their secondary structure includes four short double-helical elements and three loops (D, anti-codon, and T loops).
Source: Rfam by way of RNAcentral
ACAUUGGUGGUUCAGUGGUAGAAUUCUUGUCUUCCAUGCAAGAGACCAGGGUUCAGUUCCCAGCCAUUGCA